This is a long non-coding RNA of Etheostoma cragini (Arkansas darter), 145 nucleotides long. RefSeq lists it as uncharacterized. Lineage: Eukaryota; Metazoa; Chordata; Actinopteri; Perciformes; Percidae. The record is from RefSeq and is a predicted model, not a curated record. The transcript has 3 exons.
AAAUACUAGUGAAUUUUAAAAUUGUACUUAUUUUUGGCUGGUGAGUUAAGCAAAUCUACCAGCCACUUGCAUAUUUUACUAGCAUUUGGCUGGUAAAUGGUGCUAAUUUCAGACCCUGCUUACAUACAUUGUAUGUAUUUUUAUA